RNAcentral lists this ribosomal RNA (193 nucleotides) under uncultured Lactobacillus sp. RNAcentral describes it as "partial 16S ribosomal RNA". It matches the Rfam family "Bacterial small subunit ribosomal RNA", at positions 338 to 524 of the family's 1533-position model. The record is from RNAcentral. Lineage: Bacteria; Bacillati; Bacillota; Bacilli; Lactobacillales; Lactobacillaceae.
CCUACGGGAGGCAGCAGUAGGGAAUCUUCCACAAUGGGCGCAAGCCUGAUGGAGCAACACCGCGUGAGUGAAGAAGGGUUUCGGCUCGUAAAGCUCUGUUGUUAAAGAAGAACACGUAUGAGAGUAACUGUUCAUACGUUGACGGUAUUUAACCAGAAAGUCACGGCUAACUCCUUCCAGCAGCCGCGGUAAU